CUAACACAUGCAAGUCGAACGAUGACAAAGAGCUUGCUCUUUUGAUUAGUGGCGCACGGGUGAGUAUACCAUAGAUAAUGUACCCCUUAGUUCGGGAUAGCCACUGGAAACGGUGAUUAAUACCGGAUACUCCUUCUCAUUAUAAGAUGAGUCGGGAAAGUUUUUUCGCUAAGGGAUCAGUCUAUGUCCUAUCAGCUAGUUGGUGAGGUAAUGGCUCACCAAGGCUAUGACGGGUAUCUGGUUUGAGAGGAUGAUCAGACACACUGGAACUGAGACACGGUCCAGACUCCUACGGGAGGCAGCAGUGAGGAAUAUUGCACAAUGGAGGAAACUCUGAUGCAGCAACGCCGCGUGGAGGAUGACGCACUUCGGUGUGUAAACUCCUUUUAUUAGGGAAGAUAAUGACGGUACCUAAUGAAUAAGCACCGGCUAACUCCGUGCCAGCAGCCGCGGUAAUACGGAGGGUGCAGGCGUUACUCGGAAUCACUGGGCGUAAAGGGUGCGUAGGCUGGCUUCUAAGUCAGAUGUGAAAUCCAAUGGCUCAACCAUUGAACUGCAUUUGAAACUGGGAGCCUAGAGUUCAGAAGGGGCAGAUGGAAUUAGUGGUGUAGGGGUAAAAUCCGUAGAUAUCACUAGGAAUAUCAAAAGCGAAGGCGAUCUGCUGGGAUGAUACUGACGCUGAGGCACGAAGGCGUGGGGAGCAAACAGGAUUAGAUACCCUGGUAGUCCACGCCCUAAACGAUGAAUGCUAGUCGUCGGGAAGCUCGUCUUUUCGGUGACGCACUU
Molecule: ribosomal RNA, 786 nt
Filed under: uncultured bacterium
Lineage: Bacteria
Description: bacterial SSU rRNA
Rfam family: Bacterial small subunit ribosomal RNA
Source: RNAcentral